This 576-nucleotide ribosomal RNA is filed under the name uncultured bacterium. Its description in RNAcentral is "bacterial SSU rRNA". It matches the Rfam family "Bacterial small subunit ribosomal RNA", at positions 102 to 677 of the family's 1533-position model. The record is from RNAcentral.
ACGGGUGAGGAACACGUAGGAACCUGCCCAAAAGUGGGGGAUAACUAAGGGAAACUUUAGCUAAUACCGCAUAAUUCUCUGAGGAGAAAAGUUGCCCGUAAGGGUAGCGCUUUUGGAGGGGCCUGCGUCCGAUUAGUUAGUUGGUGAGGUAAUGGCUCACCAAGACUAUGAUCGGUAACUGGUCUGAGAGGACGACCAGUCACACUGGGACUGAGACACGGCCCAGACUCCUACGGGAGGCAGCAGUGGGGAAUCUUGGACAAUGGGGGCAACCCUGAUCCAGCGAUGCCGCGUGGGUGAAGAAGGCCUUCGGGUUGUAAAGCCCUUUAGGCUGGGAAGAAGAUUGCGGGAUGAAUAAUCCUGUAAUUUGACGGUACCAGCAGAAUAAGCACCGGCAAACUCUGUGCCAGCAGCCGCGGUAAUACAGAGGGUGCAAGCGUUAAUCGGAUUUACUGGGCGUAAAGGGCGCGUAGGCGGUUAUGUGAGUGUGAUGUGAAAGCCCCGGGCUCAACCUGGGAAGUGCAUCGCAAACGACAUAACUGGAGUAGGUGAGAGGGUGGCGGAAUUUCCGGUGUA